This 72-nucleotide transfer RNA is filed under the name Camelus bactrianus (Bactrian camel). It matches the Rfam family "tRNA". Rfam says of the family: Transfer RNA (tRNA) molecules are approximately 80 nucleotides in length. Their secondary structure includes four short double-helical elements and three loops (D, anti-codon, and T loops). Further hydrogen bonds mediate the characteristic L-shaped molecular structure. tRNAs have two regions of fundamental functional importance: the anti-codon, which is responsible for specific mRNA codon recognition, and the 3' end, to which the tRNAs corresponding amino acid is attached (by aminoacyl-tRNA synthetases). tRNAs cope with the degeneracy of the genetic code in two manners: having more than one tRNA (with a specific anti-codon) for a particular amino acid; and 'wobble' base-pairing, i.e. permitting non-standard base-pairing at the 3rd anti-codon position. Lineage: Eukaryota; Metazoa; Chordata; Mammalia; Artiodactyla; Camelidae. The record is from Rfam by way of RNAcentral. RNAcentral also lists the same sequence under 1 other name.
GAGGGUGUAGCUCAGUGGUAGAGUGCAUGCUUGGCAUGCACAAGGUCCUGGAUUCAAUCCCCAGCACUCCCU